GACGAACGCUGGCGGCGUGCUUAACACAUGCAAGUCGAACGGAAAGGCCCUGCUUUUGUGGGGUGCUCGAGUGGCGAACGGGUGAGUAACACGUGAGUAACCUGCCCUUGACUUUGGGAUAACUUCAGAAAACUGGGGCUAAUACCGGAUAGGAGCUCCUGCUGCAUGGUGGGGGUUGGAAAGUUUCGGCGGUUGGGGAUGGACUCGCGGCUUAUCAGCUUGUUGGUGGGGUAGUGGCUUACCAAGGCUUUGACGGGUAGCCGGCCUGAGAGGGUGACCGGCCACAUUGGGACUGAGAUACGGCCCAGACUCCUACGGGAGGCAGCAGUGGGGAAUAUUGCACAAUGGGCGGAAGCCUGAUGCAGCAACGCCGCGUGCGGGAUGACGGCCUUCGGGUUGUAAACCGCUUUCGCCUGUGACGAGGCGUGAGUGACGGUAAUGGGUAAAGAAGCACCGGCUAACUACGUG
RNAcentral lists this ribosomal RNA (468 nucleotides) under uncultured bacterium. RNAcentral describes it as "partial 16S ribosomal RNA". It matches the Rfam family "Bacterial small subunit ribosomal RNA", at positions 28 to 507 of the family's 1533-position model. The record is from RNAcentral.